UAGCAAUACCUUUGCCGGCGCACGGGUGAGUAACACGUAUCCAACCUGCCGAUAACUCGGGGAUAGCCUUUCGAAAGAAAGAUUAAUACCCGAUGGCAUAAUAGAACCGCAUGGUUUGAUUAUUAAAGAAUUUCGGUUAUCGAUGGGGAUGCGUUCCAUUAGGCAGUUGGUGGGGUAACGGCCCACCAAACCUUCGAUGGAUAGGGGUUCUGAGAGGAAGGUCCCCCACAUUGGAACUGAGACACGGUCCAA
This 252-nucleotide ribosomal RNA is filed under the name uncultured bacterium. Its description in RNAcentral is "partial 16S ribosomal RNA". It matches the Rfam family "Bacterial small subunit ribosomal RNA", at positions 77 to 334 of the family's 1533-position model. The record is from RNAcentral.